This 52-nucleotide ribosomal RNA is filed under the name uncultured Alphaproteobacteria bacterium. RNAcentral describes it as "partial 23S ribosomal RNA". Lineage: Bacteria; Pseudomonadati; Pseudomonadota; Alphaproteobacteria. The record is from RNAcentral.
UUGAAGAUCAAGCGUAAGAAGGGCAUUCGGUGGAUGCCUUGGCACCAGAAGG